GGAGAGAUGGCCGAGUGGUCGAAGGCGGUUGACUCGAAAUCAGCUGUACCUUAUGGGUACCGUGGGUUCGAAUCCCACUCUCUCCUCCA
This 89-nucleotide transfer RNA is filed under the name Nitrospinota bacterium. RNAcentral's name for it is "tRNA-Ser". It matches the Rfam family "tRNA". Rfam says of the family: Transfer RNA (tRNA) molecules are approximately 80 nucleotides in length. Their secondary structure includes four short double-helical elements and three loops (D, anti-codon, and T loops). Lineage: Bacteria; Pseudomonadati; Nitrospinota. The record is from RNAcentral.